GUAGGGAAUAUUGGACAAUGGGGGCAACCCUGAUCCAGCGACGCCGCGUGAGUGACGAAGGCCUUCGGGUCGUAAAGCUCUGUUGCAAGGGAAAAACAAAAUGAUGGUACCUUGCUAGAAAGGAUCGGCUAACUUCGUGCCAGCAGCCGCGGUAAGACGAGGGAUCCUAGCGUUGUUCGGAAUUAUUGGGCGUAAAGCGGGUGUAGGUGGCUUUGUAAGUCAGGUGUGAAAGCCUGGGGCUUAACCCCAGAAGUGCAUUUGAUACUGCGAAGCUUGAGUGCUGGAGAGGCUACUAGAAUUCUUGGUGUAGUGGUGAAAUACAUAGAUAUCAAGAGGAAUACCGGAGGCGAAGGAGGGUAGCUGGCCAGACACUGACACUCAGACCCGAAAGCGUGGGGAUCAAACAGGAUUAGAAACCCUGGUAGUCC
This 428-nucleotide ribosomal RNA is filed under the name uncultured bacterium. RNAcentral's name for it is "partial 16S ribosomal RNA". It matches the Rfam family "Bacterial small subunit ribosomal RNA", at positions 354 to 796 of the family's 1533-position model. The record is from RNAcentral.